CGCAUCUGUGCAUGCAGCAUAUCAAUAAGCGGAGGAAAAGAAACUAACAAGGAUUCCCUUAGUAACGGCGAGUGAAGCGGGAAGAGCUCAAAUUUGAAAUCUUCAAGGUUUUACCUUGACGAAUUGUAGUUUAAAGAAGUGUUUUCUGUUGAAGUUUUGGUAAAAGUUCUUUGGAAUAGGACAUCAUAGAGGGUGAGAAUCCCGUAUUUGACCAUUAUUUUCAGCUGUGUGAUACACUUUCAAAGAGUCGGAUUGUUUGGGAAUGCAGUCCAAAAUGGGUGGUAAAUUUCAUCUAAAGCUAAAUAUUGGCGAGAGACCGAUAGCGAACAAGUACCGUGAGGGAAAGAUGAAAAGAACUUUGAAAAGAGAGUUAAACAGUACGUGAAAUUGUCAAAAGGGAAGCGUUUGACACCAGUGUUGUUUUCUCGAAAAUCAAUUAAAAAGAGUUUGAUUUUGUUGUGUAUUGACCUUAACAGCUUGCAUUUCAAUUUUCUUGCUUUUUUUAAUGCACUUUUCGUUUAACAAGUCAACAUCAGUUUCUUUUGUUGUAAAAAGGUCAUUGGAAGGUGGCUUUCUUUUCGGAGAAAGUGUUUAUAGCCUUUGACUCCUGCAAUCGGAGAGACUGAGGUCUGCAGCGUAGAUCCUUCGGGGUUAGAUACAUUUGUGCUAAGUUAUAGCUUUUUAUAGACAACUUGUUGACUAUGAUUAGUCUUGUAGCUUACUCGCUUAUGCUAUUUUACCUACGCUUAGGAUGUUGACGCGCGUGUGUGCGUG
This 774-nucleotide ribosomal RNA is filed under the name uncultured Neocallimastigales. RNAcentral describes it as "partial large subunit ribosomal RNA". It matches the Rfam family "Eukaryotic large subunit ribosomal RNA", at positions 26 to 639 of the family's 3401-position model. Lineage: Eukaryota; Fungi; Neocallimastigomycota; Neocallimastigomycetes; Neocallimastigales. The record is from RNAcentral.